GGGGAAGUCACCCAUGAGGGGAACUGCGAGAGUCACCGUGAGACUUCCCAGUGCUUCACAUGCUCCUGACCUCAAGAAUGGCUCCUAAAUUGCAAAAGAAAUAACCAAAGGAAUAUUGCAACUGGGGAAAAUCCAUGCUCAUGCUGCAAGGCCAUCCACAUGCUAAAAACAUUGAGGAAUUUCCCCAACAUAGGAUCUGACAAGAUCAGAGAAUCUCAGGAAGCAAAGGACAGCUUGACCACACCUCCAUACCACCCCAGAGUGCUGGCUGGGGGUUUAGUCAGCAGGGGCUACAGAAGCCACGUUGGUGACUGGGUGAAUGGGGUAGGAUGGGGUUCUUUCAUGGUGCCCCUCUUUUUCUCCUUAAGCAUUGCUCUUUCAAACGGUUGGGACCUAGAAGCCAGCUACAGAAGGUGGCAAACCUUCUCUCCUAUUCUGCUUGCACUUUGUCCAGCAGAAAUUCCUUGCAUUUGGACAUGGUCAUCUUUCCAGUGCCCGACCCUGGGAAGCCACAGUGUUUUCACUGUGUGUUUAUGUUUUCGAGGCAUUUCCAUGGGCCUCUGAGGGACAUAGGUGAAAGUUCAUCGUCAUUUUGUCAUCGUGCCCAGGAGACCAAGACUUCAUUCUUUGGAACAGAGAUAUUUCUAUAGAUUCUUCUUCUCUCUCUCCUCUUCUUCCUCUUCUUUCCCUUCUUUUUCAUCUUCUCCUUCUCUUCUUUCUCCUCUUUCUCCUCCUCUUAUUCCUCUUUUUCUCCUCCUUCUGUUCCUCCUCCUUCUCCAUCUUUAAGCUAAUAUUCAUUUUAUAAAAGCUAUUGAUUUUCACAUAUUAAAAAGUCAGGUAGAGCUUGAAGGCUUUUUAAGAAAAAUAGCAGUUCCUUCACCUACCCUUUCCCCUACUCCCCAGAAACAAAAUAUUUCCCGUCUUUUCUAAAAUAAAUAUAUGCUUACAUUGCCUUUCCUUGACUUGCUAAUUUAGAAGUUAUCUACUGAGACAAUAUUACAGUGGCUCUGAUAAUUGAGAUCUUUCACACCCAUCUACUCUUGCCCUUCACCACACCCCAACCUACAUACAUGCCUAUUCUCUUCCUAACAAAACCUUAUUACACCUUUUAGUGAAAUCAUUAUUCACAAUUCCGUGGCCAUGUAAAUAUUGCUACUACUGAGCUAAAUAUUGUACUUUCCUGGUAGUAUACAUUUUUUCCUUUUAAAACUUUUGCUUUCCUG
This 1223-nucleotide long non-coding RNA is filed under the name Homo sapiens (human). RNAcentral describes it as "long non-coding RNA NONHSAT174912.1". Lineage: Eukaryota; Metazoa; Chordata; Mammalia; Primates; Hominidae. The record is from RNAcentral.